CCGAGUUAGGGUUCGUCCAACGAGCCCGUCCUCACGGACCGCCGGAGGGAUCUUUACUGGCCCUCUGGUCCGCGCUCGUCGGUAGCCCAACCUUUAAAAUCUUUAACUAAACGUGCCUUAAUCUAAGUACAAUUAUUAAAUAAAAGCA
RNAcentral lists this unclassified non-coding RNA (148 nucleotides) under uncultured Exophiala. RNAcentral describes it as "sequence contains ITS1". Lineage: Eukaryota; Fungi; Ascomycota; Eurotiomycetes; Chaetothyriales; Herpotrichiellaceae. The record is from RNAcentral.